This 1095-nucleotide long non-coding RNA is filed under the name Elaeis guineensis (African oil palm). Its description in RNAcentral is "long non-coding RNA (EGUI_LNC073398)". The record is from RNAcentral. Lineage: Eukaryota; Viridiplantae; Streptophyta; Magnoliopsida; Arecales; Arecaceae.
CUAAAUAAAAUCUUAUAAUCUAUUUAGCCUUGUGGAUCCCGUUUGUAAACAGGAGGAGUAGAGUCUUAUCAAAAAAAUUUUUAAAAAAAACAGGAGUAGUAGGGGGCCCCGCUACAUCCUAUAAUUUCUUACAGUCCACAUGCAAUUCCGGCCUUAAAGAUGACACGUGGCAACUACCUGGGCUCCAGAGGACGAGAGAAUUCUCGGACGCUCCUCCCCUCUCGAUUCCUCCAAUACUUCCCAAGAUCCCUUCAAGAAAAUUGACAAAAACAGUAAAAAGAAAAAAAAUCAGGGAUCCAUGAUUCUAUGUGAAUCCUUCAAUGUUUAUUUCCUAAUUCGUUAUAUUAUCUAUAUUUAGUAAAUUUUGCAGGGAAAAACAUUAAAUUAAAUUAAUGGAACAGCAACAAAAGGGAUGUUUUUAAUUCGAUCCUACAAACUCGAAGGAAACUUAUACAAAUGAUAUGAUUAAAUUUGGUAAAGUUUCGCCAUGAAACAAAGAUUUUUAAGAUCUCACCAAGGAAGAUGGUAAAAUCAAGGAAUUGAUUGAUCUUGUGAUCUUGCUCUUCCGAUGCCUAAUUUUUCUCGGGAUCGACUUCAAAUCUCCACAAAAAUUCAUCACAAAUACGUCUCCCGAGCUCUGAUUAAAGUAAAUGGAUUCAAGAGCUUGAAGAAAUACCUGGAUUUACGAUUUGGGUGUCUUCUUGCGAUCAAAAACUAGGGAGCUGGAUACCAUCUGCCGGGACUUAGAACUGGAUCAUUGGAAGGAGAAAUAUGGCCCAGAAAAAUAGUAAAUGGGAUUGAUCGAAUGGUGGAGAGAGCCAGCGAGAGAUUUAUUUUUGUUGUUUCGGUUGAAAGAUCGCUUUCUCUUCUCUUUUCCUUCUUCUCCGUGAGUUAGAGAGAGAGAAAGUUGGGACACGAGUCUCCCGCUGGUAAUGGAUAGAGACAAAAGGCGGCCUUACAGAGAGAGGGAGAGACGGCUGGAAGUAAGAGAGAGAGGAGGGGGAGAGGGAGGAGGAGGGGGGUUAUACAUUAUAUAGCAAGCCCCGCUUCUAAGUUUGGAAAUUGGAAAAUAAAAGAAAUUUUAUUAGCUGUAAA